UACAGAGGGUGCGAGCGUUAAUCGGAAUUACUGGGCGUAAAGCGUGCGUAGACGGUAGCGUAAGUCAGAUGUGAAAGCCCCGGGCUCAACCUGGGAAUUGCAUUUGAGACUGCUCUGCUCGGGUUCGGAAGAGGGAAGCGGAAUUUCCGGUGUAGCGGUGAAAUGCGUAGAUAUCGGAAGGAACACCAGUGGCGAAAGCGGCUUCCUGGUCCGACACCGACGUUCAGGCACGAAAGCGUGGGGAGCAAACAGG
RNAcentral lists this ribosomal RNA (253 nucleotides) under uncultured bacterium. RNAcentral's name for it is "partial 16S ribosomal RNA". It matches the Rfam family "Bacterial small subunit ribosomal RNA", at positions 524 to 776 of the family's 1533-position model. The record is from RNAcentral.